GGNUAGGCAUGCAAGUCGAACGAGGAGCGCCCCGAAAGGGGUGCAAACCGAGUGGCGUAAGGGUGAGUAAUGCAUUGAUAACCUACCUUUGAGAUGAGGAUAACAACGUUUCAAGUAAUUGAAACUACCGAAAGGGUUGCUAAUACUCAAUAAAACUGUUGUUGCUUUGGUAGCGAUAGUCAAAUAGGUGGAGUCGAAAGGCUUCAUUUGCUCAGAGAGGGGUUAAUGUCCUAUCAGCUAGUUGGUAGGGUAAUGGCCUACCAAGGCAAAGACGGGUAGCCGGCCUGAGAGGGUGGUCGGCCACACUGGGACUGAGACACUGCCCAGACUCCUACGGGAGGCUGCAGUCGAGUAUCUUCGCAAUGCCCGAAAGGGUGACGAAGCGACGCCGCGUGCGGGAAGAAGGCCUUCGGGUUGUAAACCGCUGUCGGGAGUUAAGAAAUGUAAGGAUGUUAAUAGCAUCUUUGCUUGACUAAGGCUCCGGAGGAAGCCACGGCUAACUCUGUGCCA
Molecule: ribosomal RNA, 510 nt
Filed under: uncultured Planctomycetota bacterium
Lineage: Bacteria; Pseudomonadati; Planctomycetota
Description: bacterial SSU rRNA
Rfam family: Bacterial small subunit ribosomal RNA
Source: RNAcentral